RNAcentral lists this ribosomal RNA (363 nucleotides) under Triticum aestivum (bread wheat). RNAcentral describes it as "partial small subunit ribosomal RNA". The record is from RNAcentral. Lineage: Eukaryota; Viridiplantae; Streptophyta; Magnoliopsida; Poales; Poaceae.
AUGCAUGGACCUUGCAUAUACUCAGGUACAACCGAGAUGACCAUGGAGGAUCCAAGGACCAAGGCCAAGCAUGGAAGAGGAGAAGGAAGAAGAAGAUCAGAGCAAGACUGGACUUGCCCGGAUCAUCCAGAUCCCCAGCCGGACGAUCCGGACCAAGCCCGGAUGAUCCGGACCCCGACCCGGACGAUCCGGGUAAUGUGCCCGAAGACACCCGAAGCCUGCUCGACGAAGCCGGAUCAUCCGGACCCCCGAUACCCGGAUCAUCCGGGCCACCAUCCGGAUCAUCCGGACCCCGCUUGCGUGCGUGACUUGGGCCGAAGCCCAUGCACCCCUUCGCCCCUCACUUACCCCUUCGUGGCUUAG